GAUGAACGCUGGCGGCGUGCCUAAUACAUGCAAGUCGAGCGAACGGACGAGAAGCUUGCUUCUCUGAUGUUAGCGGCGGACGGGUGAGUAACACGUGGAUAACCUACCUAUAAGACUAGGAUAACUUCGGGAAACCGGAGCUAAUACCGGAUGAUAUUUUGAACCGCAUGGUUCAAAAGUGAAAGACGGUCUUGCUGUCACUUAUAGAUGGAUCCGCGCUGCAUUAGCUAGUUGGUAAGGUAACGGCUUACCAAGGCAACGAUGCAUAGCCGACCUGAGAGGGUGAUCGGCCACACUGGAACUGAGACACGGUCCAGACUCCUACGGGAGGCAGCAGUAGGGAAUCUUCCGCAAUGGGCGAAAGCCUGACGGAGCAACGCCGCGUGAGUGAUGAAGGUCUUCGGAUCGUAAAACUCUGUUAUUAGGGAAGAACAUAUGCGUAAGUAACUGUGCACAUCUUGACGGUACCUAAUCAGAAAGCCACGGCUAACUACGUG
RNAcentral lists this ribosomal RNA (497 nucleotides) under uncultured bacterium. RNAcentral describes it as "partial 16S ribosomal RNA". It matches the Rfam family "Bacterial small subunit ribosomal RNA", at positions 28 to 507 of the family's 1533-position model. The record is from RNAcentral.